GGCGUAAAAGCGUGUGUAGGCGGUUCGGAAAGAAAGAUGUGAAAUCCCAGGGCUCAACCUUGGAACUGCAUUUUUAACUGCCGAGCUAGAGUAUGUCAGAGGGGGGUAGAAUUCCACGUGUAGCAGUGAAAUGCGUAGAUAUGUGGAGGAAUACCGAUGGCGAAGGCAGCCCCCUGGGAUAAUACUGACGCUCAGACACGAAAGCGUGGGGAGCAAACAGGAUUAGAUACCCUGGUAGUCCACGCCCUAAACGAUGUCAACUAGCUGUUGGGGCCGUUAGGCCUUAGUAGCGCAGCUAACGCGUGAAGUUGACCGCCUGGGGAGUACGGUCGCAAGAUUAAAACUCAAAGGAAUUGACGGGGACCCGCACAAGCGGUGGAUGAUGUGGAUUAAUUUGAUGCAACGCGAAAAACCUUACCUACCCCUGACAUGUCUGGAAUGCCGAAGAGAUUUGGCAGUGCUCGCAAGAGAACCGGAACACAGGUGCUGCAUGGCUGUCGUCAGCUCGUGUCGUGAGAUGUUGGGUUAAGUCCCGCAACGAGCGCAACCCUUGUCAUUAGUUGCUACGCAAGAGCACUCUAAUGAGACUGCCGGUGACAAACCGGAGGAAGGUGGGGAUGACGUCAAGUCCUCAUGGCCCUUAUGGGUAGGGCUUCACACGUCAUACAAUGGUCGGGACAGAGGGUCGCCAACCCGCGAGGGGGAGCCAAUCUCAGAAACCCGAUCGUAGUCCGGAUCGCAGUCUGCAACUCGACUGCGUGAAGUCGGAAUCGCUAGUAAUCGCGGAUCAGAAUGUCGCGGUGAAUACGUUCCCGGGUCUUGUACACACCGCCCGUCACACCAUGGGAGUGGGUUUCACCAGAAGUAGGUAGCCUAACCGUAAGGAGGGCGC
RNAcentral lists this ribosomal RNA (892 nucleotides) under Alcaligenes aquatilis. RNAcentral describes it as "bacterial SSU rRNA". It matches the Rfam family "Bacterial small subunit ribosomal RNA", at positions 557 to 1453 of the family's 1533-position model. The record is from RNAcentral. Lineage: Bacteria; Pseudomonadati; Pseudomonadota; Betaproteobacteria; Burkholderiales; Alcaligenaceae.